This 497-nucleotide ribosomal RNA is filed under the name uncultured bacterium. RNAcentral describes it as "partial 16S ribosomal RNA". It matches the Rfam family "Bacterial small subunit ribosomal RNA", at positions 28 to 507 of the family's 1533-position model. The record is from RNAcentral.
GAUGAACGCUGGCGGCGUGCCUAAUACAUGCCAGUCGAGCGAACGGACGAGAAGCUUGCUUUUCUGAUGUUAGCGGCGGACGGGUGAGUAACACGUGGAUAACCUACCUAUAAGACUGGGAUAACUUCGGGAAACCGGAGCUAAUACCGGAUAAUAUUUUGAACCGCAUGGUUCAAAAGUGAAAGACGGUCUUGCUGUCACUUAUAGAUGGAUCCGCGCUGCAUUAGCUAGUUGGUAAGGUAACGGCUUACCAAGGCAACGAUGCAUAGCCGACCUGAGAGGGUGAUCGGCCACACUGGAACUGAGACACGGUCCAGACUCCUACGGGAGGCAGCAGUAGGGAAUCUUCCGCAAUGGGCGAAAGCCUGACGGAGCAACGCCGCGUGAGUGAUGAAGGUCUUCGGAUCGUAAAGCUCUGUUAUUAGGGAAGAACAUAUGUGUAAGUAACUGUGCACAUCUUGACGGUACCUAAUCAGAAAGCCACGGCUAACUACGUG